AUCCUUUUGUGAUUCUUAAGCAUCAUGAUUGAGUUUGCAUGCUAUUGUGUGAGAUGUGCCUCUCUCAAACCUUAUCAUGAUGUUGGCACUAAAGACUCUGCAGACA
Cynocephalus volans (Philippine flying lemur) is the source of this 106-nucleotide small nucleolar RNA. RefSeq annotates it as small nucleolar RNA U13. The transcript has a single exon. Lineage: Eukaryota; Metazoa; Chordata; Mammalia; Dermoptera; Cynocephalidae. The record is from RefSeq and is a predicted model, not a curated record.